This 374-nucleotide ribosomal RNA is filed under the name uncultured organism. RNAcentral's name for it is "partial 16S ribosomal RNA". It matches the Rfam family "Bacterial small subunit ribosomal RNA", at positions 527 to 896 of the family's 1533-position model. The record is from RNAcentral.
GUAGGUGGCAAGCGUUGUCCGGAAUUAUUGGGCGUAAAGCGCGCGCAGGUGGUUCUUUAAGUCUGAUGUGAAAGCCCCCGGCUCAACCGGGGAGGGUCAUUGGAAACUGGGGAACUUGAGUGCAGGAGAGGAAAGUGGAAUUCCACGUGUAGCGGUGAAAUGCGUAGAUAUGUGGAGGAACACCAGUGGCGAAGGCGACUUUCUGGCCUGUGACUGACACUGAGGCGCGAAAGCGUGGGGAGCAAACAGGGAUUAGAUACCCUGGUAGUCCACGCCGUAAACGAUGAGUGCUAAGUGUUGGGGGGGUUUCCGCCCCCUCAGUGCUGCAGCUAACGCAUUAAGCACUCCGCCCUGGGAGUACGGUCGCAAGACUG